RNAcentral lists this long non-coding RNA (4969 nucleotides) under Solanum melongena (eggplant). RNAcentral describes it as "long non-coding RNA (SMEL_LNC000149)". The record is from RNAcentral. Lineage: Eukaryota; Viridiplantae; Streptophyta; Magnoliopsida; Solanales; Solanaceae.
GUUAGCGUAUCUACAUGAGGAUUGCAGCCAAAAGAUAAUUCAUUUGGACAUCAAACCACAAAACAUCCUUCUGGAUCAAUAUCUCAAUGCUAAGAUAUCAGAUUUUGGGUUGUCGAAGCUAAUUGAGAAAGACAAAAGCAAAGUCGUGACUAGAAUGAGAGGAACACGGGGUUAUUUAGCCCCUGAAUGGUUGAGCUCGGUAAUCACUGAGAAAGUUGAUGUGUAUGCUUUUGGAAUUGUCCUCUUGGAAAUUCUCUGUGGGCGGAAGAAUUUGGACUGGUCCCAAGCUGAUGAAGAAGAUGUCCAUUUGCUAAGUGUAUUUAGGAGAAAAGCGGAACAAAAGCAACUCAUUGAUAUGGUUGACAAAAACAACGAAGAUAUGCAGCUCCACAGGGAAGCAGUGACUGAAAUGAUGAGCCUCGCUGCAUGGUGUCUACAGGGUGAUUUUUCCAAGAGGCCUUCCAUGUCAUUGGUGGUUAAGGCAUUGGAAGGUUUGGUCACUGUUGAAACCAACUUGAAUUAUGAUUUCACACAUGUACCUGAGGUUGGGGCAGGCAACCAAGAGAGGGAAGUCAUUAUCAGUUCAAUAUUUCCUUCAAUUUUAUCAGGACCUAGGUAAACAAAUUGUUGAAUGCCUUGAAUUGGACCCGCUACAAACAUCUGUUGAUUCUGUAUGUUGGGCCCAAGCCUGUUAGGGCGUAGCUUAGCACUAUAUAUAGACGCUAUGGGAAACCCUAUUCUGUAAUUCUGUUUUUGCCUCUCCAUAAUAAAACUGCUCCCUCUCUUCCCGUGGACGUAGCCAAUUUAUUGGUGAACCACGUAAAUCUGUUGUCUUGUUUUUCGCGUUUAUAUUUUCUCGUAUUAUCUCAAAUUCCGCACAUCACAAAUCCAUAGGUUUUUGUCUUUGAAGCAACCAAUUUAUUGCUGCAUAAUGUCAAAUAUCCAACAUUUUCAAUUCUAGCAUAACUUUUUUACAGUGUAUGAGAUUAUAAUUCAUAAUGUUCAGUAACUUCUAUAUUAAAUUUUUGAGCUUCAUGUUACUAUCGUGUAGAGGGAUCUCAAUUCAUGUGCGAGUAUAAGUAUGCUGUCAGCUUUAUUGUGUUAUGCUAUCGGAAAAGCUUAUUUCUCUUCAUCUAAUCUUAGAACAUUUAAUUUUCCAAAAGCUUCCGUGCUGUCAUUUCUGUUGAGUUGUAAGUUGUAACACUCUUUCCAGCAAUCAUUUUCCAAAUCCACAAUUUAAUUUCACGUUUUACCACUGAACUCAUUAUAUUUUAGUAGUUAAAAGUUUACACAAACCAGAUGAACUAUUAGUGGAUCUUUAGUUACUAACAUUCAACUUGGAAUUAUUGGGCACUUUCCACUGAAUGGGAUGUGCCAUAAAUUCCAAAGUCCAAGUCAAUACAGAGAGGGGCCUCAAACAAACUUCUUCAAUGUGCUAUCUUUUUUCAAACUUUAAUAAUGGGGCCGGGUUCUAUCUUUCCACUAACGGGACCAUUUGACCAUUUCCAAGUUACAAUUUUCGUUAUUGCAGACAAAUCAAGGUCACUACGACUUUCAUUUACUUCAUGUUAUGCUUCUUAUCCUCACUCCUCUGCAUUUGAGGUGCAUGGAUUUGAUGAUUUUAACGUAGGCUAGUACAUCGUAUGUGUGUUAAACUAUUUAGUUUAGAAUUAUUCUUCAGCACCUAUAUAGACUCCCUAGUAAUGUGAUUAUGUAAGAGUGGAGUUAUUUUAAUGCUAUGAAAUGUAUCUCGAUCCCUCUUCCAUCCUCUUCAUAACCUAGCUGUGAUGAUAUUAUCAAGGGUCCGCCUUAGAUAUUUCUAACAAGACUUGUUUUUUUUUUCCUUAAUCAAUGAAUAGUGACUUAUUUAUCUCCAUCUUCCAUCUUUUUCAAUCUUUGCCUAAUCAAUACAAAAAAAAAAAAAAAAUCUUCCUCAUGCUAUCAUUUUCCAAGUUAAUUUCACUAUUUCGGAACUUUCCUCCUCAUUAACUAUGAGUCUUCCAUAAGAACCAUUCCCAUAUUGAUAUACGAUGACUUCCAAUCAAGCAGAUGUUAUCUUCCAAUUGGUUAAGUGAGACGUGUGAUUUGGGAAACAUUUCCUUUUGACUUGACAGUAAAUGAUUCACAAAAUUGGGCAUAACUGAACUCCACACGUUUCAAAAGUAUUCCUAGCCACAGCAUUCAUUAUGAACUACUGGAAGAUGCUAGCUGACCUACAUGUAAAAUACAGUUUGGUUCGAAAGCUAGCAGGAUACUGUUUAACGCUAGAUACUUAGCUCGAAUAUGACUACCUCAGCUUUCAAUAAAUAACAAUUGAACCAAAUUGUUAUGUAGCAGCCAACAGUAACAAAUUAAAGAUAAUAAAUAGAAGAAUAUAGGAAAAUGCAGUCUCUUUUCUUCCUAAAGGAAACCAAAGCAAAUAUAAAUAUCAAUGUCACAAUCUUUACACUGAUGGGACCAUUUUGACCAUUUCUAAGUUACAAUUCCGUUGUUGUUCAACCUUGCAGACAAGUCGAAGUCACUAGGACUUUCAUUUACUUUGUGGAUUGGACGUGAGGAAAGCUUAUCAUCCGAUUGUUAUGGUUAAUGUGAACUGAUUUAUGGAGAAAAUUACAAUUACAGAUAUCACUUUGGAUAUUCUGUAUGCUCAUAUCUUUCUUCAACUAUACACAAAAAAAAUCCAUAUAUUUUAUUGAUUUUGAUUAGGAAACAAUGUUUGCAGAAGAGAGAAUGUGUUUUCCUAUCCUUCUCUUCAUUUAUCUCCUCUUAUCUUUGUCUCGAUUUGUUAUAUCACAAUCUUUCCUACACUACAACAUCAGUCUUCCGAAUUCUACUGCAGGGCAUGCCGGACUUUCCUCUUUAUGGAUCAAUAGGCCGUCUCUUAUUAUUAAUUCCACCACCGAUGGCUUCUCAAUGCCCAUACUUCAGCGGGGAAAUGCUGGCCCACGAUUCCUCUAUGGCUUCUACUGCAGGUACAAUGCCACAGAAUGCCUUCUUGGUAUCGUUUUGUAUCACAACAAAUACAACGAGCAGGACGGUAUAGUAAAUGAACCCCAGUUAGUUUGGUCUGCUAACAGGAACCGUCCAGUGAAAUUCAAUGCAACCUUGGAACUAGGCCAAGAUGGCAACUUGGUCUUGACAGACUCUGAUGGCACUCUUGUUUGGUCCACUGAUACAAUUGGGAAAUCUGUUUCUGGCUUAAACUUAACAGAAAUGGGAAAUCUUGUGCUCUUUGAUAAGAGAAAGCGCAUAAUUUGGCAGUCUUUUGAUCAUCCUACGGAUUCUUUGCUUCCAGGGCAAAGUUUGGUUUCUGGCCGGAAGAUCGUAGCAAGCGUUUCAGCAACCAAUCGGAGUCAAGGUUUGUUUGCUCUUACUGUUCUCAAUGGAAGCUGGGCUGCUUACAUGGAUACUAAUCCGCCUCAAUAUUACUACACUUCAUACUAUGCUGAUAGUUCUUAUUACAGUUUUAAUGGUCAAACCUUUACUAUUUUACACUAUCCUACUAACUCGACAGCUCAAUUCAUGAAGAUUGGUCCUGAUGGACAUAUAAAGGUAUACCAAUGGUCUGAAGUUGUAUCUGACCUUUUGCCGCGAUUUGUAGAUAAAUGUGCAUACCCAAUGGUAUGUGGAAGUUAUAGCAUUUGUACAAAUAACGGGCAAUGUACUUGUCCGUCACAGGAAAACUUCUUCAGGCCAUUUUCUGAGAGGAAACCAGAUCUUGGAUGUUCACAGCUGACUUCCGUUAACUGCAACUCCUCGCAGUAUCAUAGUUUCGUAGAGCUCAAGAAUACUACAUAUUUUUCAUUUUACAUUGAUCAGGAACUAAAUUCGAGCAAAUUAUGGCUUGGGCAGACAAAGUUGGAAGAUUGCAAAAGGGCCUGUCUGAGUAACUGUUCUUGCAAAGCUGCUGUUUUUAGAUAUGGUUGGAAUGGGACUCGAAGAGGAAACUGUUUGUUACUGAAUGAAGUUUUCUCUCUCAGAGACAGCGAUGAAGGAAGAGGCAAUACAGUGUUUCUUAAGGUGCAGAAUUCCUCAAAGGCGCAGACUCAGUCUCUAAUCAUUCCUGGAGGAAAGAAAUCAAGACCUUUCAAAGUGAUAAUAGGAUCUACUCUUGCAGCUUUCUUUGGGAUAAUUUUAAGCACAGCUACUUGCUUUGUUAUUUUCAGAAAGAGGACACAUGAGUCCAGAAAGGCUGCGGAUAUUUUGGAUCUAGCACCAAUCUUACCCGGAAUCCUAACUCGAUUUUCUUACAAUGAGCUAAAAAUAAUUACAGAAGAUUUCAGUAGAAAGCUGGGGGAAGGAGGAUUUGGCUGUGUUUAUGAAGGAACACUGAGAAAUGGCACUAAAAUAGCUGUGAAGCAUCUGGAUGGUGUAGGUCAAGUAAAGGAAUCAUUCUUAACAGAGGUAAAGGCGGUCGGUGGCAUUCACCAUAUCAAUCUGGUAAAACUCAUUGGAUUUUGUGCCGAAAAAACCCACAGGCUUCUAAUCUAUGAGUACAUGGUGAAUGGAUCGCUGGAUAGGUGGAUUACACAUGAAAAUCGACAAAAUGGGCUUACGUGGAGCACAAGACAGAGGAUAAUAUCAGAUAUCGCCAAAGGGUUAGCGUAUCUACAUGAGGAUUGCAGCCAAAAGAUAAUUCAUUUGGACAUCAAACCACAAAACAUCCUUCUAGAUCAGUACUUCAAUGCUAAGAUAUCAGAUUUUGGGUUGUCGAAGCUAAUUGAGAAAGACAAAAGCAAAGUUGUGACUAGAAUGAGAGGCACACCGGGUUAUUUAGCCCCUGAAUGGUUGAGCUCAGUAAUCACUGAGAAAGUUGAUGUUUAUGCUUUUGGAAUUGUCCUCUUGGAAAUUCUGUGUGGGCGAAAGAAUUUGGAUUGGUCCCAACCUGAUGAAGAAGAUGUCCAUUUGCUAAGUGUAUUUAGGAGAAAAGCGGAACAAAAGCAGCUCAUGGAUAUGGUUGACAAAAACA